Molecule: ribosomal RNA, 435 nt
Filed under: uncultured bacterium
Lineage: Bacteria
Description: partial 16S ribosomal RNA
Rfam family: Bacterial small subunit ribosomal RNA
Source: RNAcentral
AGCGAACGCUGGCGGCAGGCCUAACACAUGCAAGUCGAGCGGGCGUAGCAAUACGUCAGCGGCAGACGGGUGAGUAACGCGUGGGAACGUACCUUUUGGUUCGGAACAACACAGGGAAACUUGUGCUAAUACCGGAUAAGCCCUCACGGGGAAAGAUUUAUCGCCGAAAGAUCGGCCCGCGUCUGAUUAGCUAGUUGGUGAGGUAACGGCUCACCAAGGCGACGAUCAGUAGCUGGUCUGAGAGGAUGAUCAGCCACAUUGGGACUGAGACACGGCCCAAACUCCUACGGGAGGCAGCAGUGGGGAAUAUUGGACAAUGGGGGCAACCCUGAUCCAGCCAUGCCGCGUGAGUGAUGAAGGCCCUAGGGUUGUAAAGCUCUUUUGUGCGGGAAGAUAAUGACGGUACCGAAAGAAUAAGCCCCGGCUAACUUCGUG